This 720-nucleotide ribosomal RNA is filed under the name uncultured marine bacterium. Its description in RNAcentral is "bacterial SSU rRNA". It matches the Rfam family "Bacterial small subunit ribosomal RNA", at positions 766 to 1498 of the family's 1533-position model. The record is from RNAcentral.
GAGCGAACAGGAUUAGAUACCUGGUAGUCCACGCCGUAAAACUAUGAUCACUCGUUGUUGGCAAUACACAGUCAGUGACUAAGGGAAACCGAUAAGUGAUCCACCUGGGGGAGUACGAUCGCAAAGGUUGAAACUCAAAGGAAUUGACGGGGGCCCGCACAAGCGGUGGAGCAUGUGGUUUAAUUCGAUGAUACGCGAGGAACCUUACCUGGGCUCAAAUGUAAGUUGACAACCCCCGAAAGGGGGCUUUCCUCGGACAAUUUACAAGGUGCUGCAUGGUUGUCGUCAGCUCGUGCCGUGAGGUGUCGGGUUAAGUCCCAUAACGAGCGCAACCCCUACUCUUAGUUGCCAGCAUGUAAUGAUGGGGACUCUAAGAGAACUGCCUACGCAAGUAGAGAGGAAGGUGGGGAUGACGUCAAAUCAGCACGGCCCUUACGUCCAGGGCUACACACGUGCUACAAUGGCCGGUACAGAGGGCAGCCACCACGCGAGUGGGAGCAAAUCUCCAAAGCCGGUCUCAGUUCGGAUCGAAGUCUGCAACCCGACUUCGUGAAGCUGGAAUCGCUAGUAAUCGCGCAUCAGCCAUGGCGCGGUGAAUACGUUCCCGGGCCUUGUACACACCGCCCGUCAAGCCAUGGAAGCUGGGAGUACCUGAAGUCGGUAACCGCAAGGAGCUGCCUAGGGUAAAACUAGUAAUUGGGGCUAAGUCGUAACAAGGUA